RNAcentral lists this ribosomal RNA (493 nucleotides) under uncultured bacterium. RNAcentral describes it as "partial 16S ribosomal RNA". It matches the Rfam family "Bacterial small subunit ribosomal RNA", at positions 28 to 507 of the family's 1533-position model. The record is from RNAcentral.
GACGAACGCUGGCGGUGUGCUUAACACAUGCAAGUGGUGCGACGAACCAGAGCUUGCUCUGGGGCAAAGCCGCGAACGGGUGAGUAACACGUGGGUAAUCUACCCCGAUGACCGGGACAACCCGAGGAAACUCGGGCUAAUACCGGAUGUGGUGCGGAGACAUAAGUCUCUUCACUAAAGGGAGCUUCGGCUUCCGCAUUGGGAGGGGCCCGCGGCCCAUUAGCUUGUUGGUGGGGUCAAGGCCUACCAAGGCAACGAUGGGUAGCUGGUCUGAGAGGACGAUCAGCCACACUGGGACUGAGACACGGCCCAGACUCCUACGGGAGGCAGCAGUGGGGAAUCUUGCGCAAUGCGCGAAAGCGUGACGCAGCAACACCGCGUGAGGGAAGAAGGCCUUAGGGUUGUAAACCUCUUUCAGAUGGGACGAAGGUUCUCCGGUGAAUAGCCGAGAGGAUUGACGGUACCGUCAGAAGAAGCUCCGGCUAACUACGUG